Molecule: unclassified non-coding RNA, 240 nt
Filed under: uncultured fungus
Lineage: Eukaryota; Fungi
Description: partial contains 18S rRNA, ITS1 and 5.8S rRNA
Source: RNAcentral
AGGUGAACCUGCGGAAGGAUCAUUAGUGAUUUUGAAUCGUUGGCCGACUGUGCUGGCUCUUUGCCGGGCAUGUGCACGCCGGGCGACGUUCACUCCAACACCCCUGUGAACCAUUCGACCCCUUGUGCUUUGCUUCGGCGGGCACUUGGGAUUUUUCUACACACACUCGCAUGUAAUGAAACGUCUAUUUGUGCGCAAGCACUAAUGUACAACUUUCAACAACGGAUCUCUUGGCUCUCG